Molecule: non-coding RNA, 73 nt
Filed under: Schistosoma japonicum
Lineage: Eukaryota; Metazoa; Platyhelminthes; Trematoda; Strigeidida; Schistosomatidae
Source: RNAcentral
CGCCUUUAGGUCCGGGAAGACAACUAUUGUAGGACGCCUAAAUGUCUGUGUUCCAGGACCUGUCACAGUGUGA